GAUGAACGCUGGCGGCGUGCCUAAUACAUGCGAGUCGAGCGAACGGACGAGAAGCUUGCUUCUCUGAUGUUAGCGGCGGACGGGUGAGUAACACGUGGAUAACCUACCUAUAAGACUGGGAUAACUUCGGGAAACCGUAGCUAAUACCGGAUAAUAUUUUGAACCGCAUGGUUCAAAAGUGAAAGACGGUCUUGCUGUCACUUAUAGAUGGAUCCGCGCUGCAUUAGCUAGUUGGUAAGGUAACGGCUUACCAAGGCAACGAUGCAUAGCCGACCUGAGAGGGUGGUCGGCCACACUGGAACUGAGACAGGGUCCAGACUCCUACGGUAGGCAGCAGUAGGGAAUCUUACGCAAUGGGCGAAAGCCUGACGGAGCAACGCCGAGUGAGUGAUGAAGGUCUUCGGAUCGUAAAACUCUGUUAUUAGGGAAGAACAUAUGUGUAAGUAACUGUGCACAUCUUGACGGUACCUAAUCAGAAAGCCACGGCUAACUACGUG
RNAcentral lists this ribosomal RNA (497 nucleotides) under uncultured bacterium. RNAcentral's name for it is "partial 16S ribosomal RNA". It matches the Rfam family "Bacterial small subunit ribosomal RNA", at positions 28 to 507 of the family's 1533-position model. The record is from RNAcentral.